This 301-nucleotide ribosomal RNA is filed under the name uncultured bacterium. RNAcentral's name for it is "partial 16S ribosomal RNA". It matches the Rfam family "Bacterial small subunit ribosomal RNA", at positions 509 to 808 of the family's 1533-position model. The record is from RNAcentral.
CAGCAGCCGCGGUAAUACGUAGGGUGCAAGCGUUAAUCGGAAUUACUGGGCGUAAAGCGUGCGCAGGCGGUUUGUUAAGACAGAUGUGAAAUCCCCGGGCUCAACCUGGGAACUGCAUUUGUGACUGGCAAGCUAGAGUGUGGCAGAGGGGGGUGGAAUUCCGCGUGUAGCAGUGAAAUGCGUAGAUAUGCGGAGGAACACCGAUGGCGAAGGCAGCCCCCUGGGCCAACACUGACGCUCAUGCACGAAAGCGUGGGGAGCAAACAGGAUUAGAUACCCCGUAGUCCCUGUCUCUUAUACA